CCCUUAGAUGUCCGGGGCCGCACGCGCGCUACACUGAAGGAAUCAGCGUGGCUUUCUCCCUGACCCGAAAGGGUUGGGAAACCCGUUGAAUCUCCUUCGUGAUAGGGAUUGGGGCUUGAAAUUGUUCCCCAUGAACGAGGAAUUCCCAGUAAGCGCGAGUCAUAAGCUCGCGUUGAUUACGACCCUGCCCUUUGUACACACCGCCCGUCGCUACUACCGAUUGAACGGUUUAGUGAGGGCCUCGGAUUGGUCUCGGCCCGCUCUUUACCGGGCGGCGCCGUUGGUCGAGAAGACGCUCGAACUUGAUCGUUUAGAGGAAGUAAAAGUCGUAACA
Molecule: ribosomal RNA, 334 nt
Filed under: uncultured eukaryote
Lineage: Eukaryota
Description: partial 18S ribosomal RNA
Rfam family: Eukaryotic small subunit ribosomal RNA
Source: RNAcentral